RNAcentral lists this microRNA precursor (157 nucleotides) under Pelobates cultripes (western spadefoot toad). The record is from RNAcentral. Lineage: Eukaryota; Metazoa; Chordata; Amphibia; Anura; Pelobatidae.
GCAGACACAUUCCAGCCAAUCAGCAGCAGACCCUCCCUCCCAGACCCUCCCACCUCCUGGACAGCAUUCAUUUUGAAGCUUCAUUCUUAGUGAGCUGUCCAGGAGGUGGGAGGGUCUGGGAGGGAGGGUCUGCUGCUGAUUGGCUGGAAUGUGUCCG